GGCCCGACAGCUUUUCUUGAGCUACGGGGACAGUGGUUUCCACUUCCAAACCUUCGUGACUCAACAGCUUCUUUUCACAGUAAAAAUCGACAAGUUUUAUCCCACUUUUCCCCUGUUCAGUGGUUCAAAUAAAGCUUUAAAAAUCUAUAUCUGAAAUGCUAAAAGUCAUGUUAAGCCACGAGAGGUCCUCAGGGAGCUGCAGAACUCACCAGAAUCACUGAGGUGCUGUAAGGCGUUACAGUGGUACCUGGGGUUACAUACGCUUCAGGUUACAGACUCCGCUAACCCAGAAAUAGUACCUCGGGUUAAGGACUUUGCUUCAGGAUGAGAACAGAAAUCGCAUGGCGGUAGCGCUGCAGCAACGGGAGGCCCCAUUAGCUAAAGUGGUGCUUCAGGUUAAGAACAGUUUCAGGUUAAGAACGGACCUCCGGAACGAAUUAAGUAUGUAACCAGAGGUACCACUGUAAAGACAAACCACGAGGUCUGUCUGGGGACCAGGGGCUUGUCCACAUUUGAGUAUUAUUUAGCCAUUAUUAUUAUUAUUAUUACUAUUAAAUUAAAUUUAUAUACCACUGUCAAGGCUGCCUCAAGUCUUAGCUCACAAAAGACCAACGCCUACGUCUUCUUGUAUACAAAGGUGUUUAUUGCAGUUCAUGGUUUGCUUGACAUCCUAGGCGCGCAGCCUUACGUCUCUUACGCUAGACCGCCGAAGUCCCCUCUGAGUCAGUCCCUCCUCUGCACCAAUUUAAGAGACUUGCGCUGCUCCACCUCUUUCUCUCCUUCCUUUUCCGCAGGGUCCUUCUGCCCCCUGGGGUUGCGCCCCUUCUGGAUUCCUCUGACGCUGAAUCCCCAGACUGCUCUUCCCCCCUCCUGCGGGCUUUGGGACCUGGCCCCUCCUCCGGGCUCCCUGCACUUCCGCGCGCCUCUACAUUUGAACUAGGCGCGCGCGCCAAACCUCUAACUUUCCUUCUGACAGUUACACUACUCCCUUCACUGCCCCCUCCCCUUCCGGGAGGGCGGCUUGCUCUGACCCCCCUCCUUUCUCUGCUGCUGGAGCUGCUUCCUCUGACACACUGGAAACUCCACCCCCUUCGCUGCACUUUGGUGGGGAGGCUGGUCCUGACGCCCAGCUGCCACUUUGGGAUCCUCCGCUGGCACCCUGCUCCUGACACUUCCCCCCUGGGGCUCCCUGGCCCUGACCACCGGCGCCCCUUCUGGGAAUCCUCUGAUUCGCUGGAAAGACUCAUGGAAUCCCUUGAGUCAUUGUCAUCCUCUUCCUCGCUGGCUUGGAAUUCCUCCCCCUCGCUCUCCAUCUCCUGCCUACCCUGUGCCUCUCUCUCUGAACCCCUGACAACCACCCUUCAUUCAAAGAUCAUAGAGCAUUUUGCAACACUUUAAAUUCAUGGCUAAAUUCACAGCCCCCAUUCAGAUUAGACAGGAGUAGUCCACAUCUGCAUGUAUUUGAAUUUGUAAAUAUUCUGGGAAGCAACUUCAGUCUUUCUUUGGGGUCCCUUCAGGCAGGUCCCAAACCAACUGAUGACAAGAAAGGAGAUUCUGGCUAAACAUCAGGAGUAACUUUCUGAAGGUAAGAUCUGUUCAACAGUGGAAUGGACUCCCUCGGAAGGUGGUGGUCGGCCCUCAUGCAUGUUCACUUCAUCAAAUCUGGCCCUCUUUGAAAACAGUUUGGGCACCCCUGGGCUAAGAUGACCCCCGGGGUUCCUUCCAGCUCUACAAUUCUAUGUUUCUAUGACCCAACUGGGAAGGAGCGAAAGGCUUAGGUGGGGCUGGUAGAGCAUGUGCUUUGUGUCCAAACCCCCCAAGUUCAGUUCCUGCUAUUUCCAAGACUUGGUCCGGAACCCUAGACCAAAUUCACAAUAUACUUCCAAAGCACCACGAUACCAUUUAAAACACUUUAAACAGUGGUUUAACAACAAAUCCCUCUUCAAAUGGAAAUAUGUUACUUGCAGCUUUGUGAGGGGAAUAGGGGUCUUCUAACAACUCACAGCACCCUUAACAGACUACAGCUCCCAGAAUUCUUUGGGGAAAGCCAUGUGUGUUUAAAGUAGUGUCAUAGUAUUUUAAAUAGAUGGUGUGAACGUGGCCCUAGACAGCUGCUACCAGUCAGGGUAGACAGUAGUGUGCAAGAUGUUCCUACUUAUUUUAACUUUUCAUUAGUAGAGCAAGUCUGCAGUGGCUGCCUAGAUUAAAAAUCCAAGCUUUUCAUUUCAGGGCAUUGAUGGUCUUCAUAGAAUCGUGAUGCUCCUACUAUCAGCUCUUCCAUUUCUUUGGGCUCCGUUUAGUUCUCAUGUAUACCUAUAUUUACCAGUUUAUGUUAUGCUUCUGAUAAAGUGGCUAGAAUCUCCACUACCAAGGUUUAUGCAACAUUACUCUGUUAAUUAAGGGGCCACAAGUCUAUCAAGGUGUGGGUAUCGUUUUUGCUGCAGCCAACUUACUGAAGUUCAUGUUUUAAAUUGACAUCUUUCAAAUGCUUCCACCCAGCAAAAAUAUGCAACUGUGCAUACCGGAAUAGCUAAGUGGAAGGCUAUCAAUGUUUUCUUUUUUCCUCCUGAUUUGCCACAUGUAGAUGGAGCAGGCAGAAAUGUUUCUGAGGAGGAGUGGUAAGGAAAGAAGCUGUCCGUCCAGUUCAUAACCUGCAACUUGAGUCCCACCCUUUCAGCAAUGUCUCUCUUCCAGACCUGUCCCAGAACUGAACACGUGUGUGUGAUACAAAAGAUGCAAGCCCAGUCUUGCCUUCUGUAGAAACUUGGAAGGGAUUUGACACUUGUUUCAGCAACAGUAAAUAUGAAAGCUAUGUCAAAAUACUAAAUCUCCCAUUUGUUGCCAGGUAUUUACUUCUGGCAAAGAGAAUCAAAGUAACACCUCAUUCCAUGUUAGGGCUUGCACAGAGGGUGUGAUCUGUAACAAAACCCUUUAUUUAAUAGGCUUAAGAUCACAAUGGAUGGUUGUGAUGAUGUUCUGGCACUACAGACACGGUGCUCUGCGUUUAGAGUCAACAGCAAGGAGCAUGCAACUGAGAUUCAAAUUGGAGAAAGUAUGCACCCAAGACCCCUCUUCCUUGGAUUCUAAUGCAGUAGAUUUUGGGUUUUUUCUAAAUAAUAAGAUACAAAGAUGCAACCAUUUGAACAGUUGGUGUGAGAGAAUCCAGAUGAUAUUCCACCUGCUGGUGUGUGUUGUCUCAGGAGACAAUGGAGGAGUGUGCCUUUGGGGGUGAAGUCAAACUUUUGGAAGGUUGCAGUGCCUGCUGUGGCUGUAGAGACUGAAAUAGGAGAAACAUGUUUUGUUCCAGCUGGGGCAGAUGAAGGUGUCCGGUUGUGUGUAUCCUCUGGGAAAUGGCGUGUUCCCACUGCUUCUGAGUUACUGGCAAAAUAGGAUUGCAUAAGAUACUGGGCUUGCUGAAGAGCCACUGAUCCUGAGAUAAGAAAACACACACACACACACACACACACACACACACACACACACCAUAUAUUCCCUCAUUCUGUCCCCCUGACCAACAGAAACAGAUAUACCCUGCUUGGUUGCCACCUGCUUAUCCUGUACAUUUCUACCGAAAUAUUACACAAAAAUGCCAUGAAGUUUCCAUGUUCUCCACUGAUCAUGGAAACUUUAUGACAUUUUGUAAUCCCGAAGCUGCCGUAGAGCACUUCUGGUUCAUGGGGAACGCAAUUCAAUAUUGUUGGGUUCAGUACCCUUUGCAGGAUUAAAAGUCAAAACGCCAAUUCUCUUUCUUCUGGUUACACUUCUGUGUUUGCUUUCACCUAAGGAAUAGGUGCAUGGGGUUGUUUGAGGGUGGGGUUGGGUGAAUAUUUGUAGCCAGCCUAUCAAACCGGCUCCGAGUGGUCAAGAUGAAAGAGGGUUCGAAAACUAUUGCAAGCUUUACUAGCCUGACUCUUGGCAAGGCUCCAUGCAUUCUCGUUGUUCCCUGUUGAGCUUCAUCACCCACCUCCUCCCAUUCUUGUUCCAUCAAGCCUACAGCUGGCAACGAAUGAAAGCAAGCUAUAAACCCUUCCCAUCUCUUGCCUGUUCAAGCCCUGCAAGGGCCAACUGACUUUUCCUGCAACAGUUGAAAUAUCUCCUUUUCUAUGUGGAACAAAAUUUCCAGUCAGCCAGUGGCCGAUUUUGUUGUAGCAGGCUGCUGAGAAAAUCCAUAGUGAUACUGAGGCUGCACAUCUAAUAUACAUGCUUCCCUGAGAACAAGUCCCACUGAAUGCAAUGGGCAUUAUUUUUUAAAGCAGGAGAGAAAAAACUUGCUUGUUUACCACCUGCUCACACUGUUCAUUUCUGCAUGGAUAUUACUUGGGCCUUCUGUAUGCAAAACAGAUGCCUUACAAUUGAGUACAAUUUAUCAAGAGCUCUGGCCUCUGCAGAUAAGAGGGCUGCAGUUGGCCUUUUUUUCAGUCCCCAGACAUACAAGGGAAGGCAAUGUGCUCAGAUGCUGGACUGGAAGCUGUUUUCUUGUGCAGAGAAACAGCAUAAAGCUCUCUUUGAUCAGGAAGCACAGCAAAGCUUUAGGGCAGAAACAAAACAUAGCGGGCGCUGAAUAUUCCAGGACCAUCAGAAGCUGAACAGACCACAAACCCCAUUUGUGACUAUUGCACUUUUAAGUUAUUUUAGACUCUGGAAUUAAUGGUCUUAUAGGGAGAUUCUCCUUUAGGCUGCAAUGAGCCAACUUCAGUAUACACCACCCUGGCUAAAUUGGGAGCCCCUCCAGCUCAUUCUGCUGAGUGGGGCCCUGGACACGUGCC
Molecule: non-coding RNA, 4766 nt
Organism: Podarcis lilfordi (Lilford's wall lizard)
Lineage: Eukaryota; Metazoa; Chordata; Lepidosauria; Squamata; Lacertidae
Source: the annotation of a GenBank genome assembly